UAUCGGACCUUCGAGAAGAUCACCACAUGUCGGCUCUGUGAUGGGCUACACCACCUCAGACAGUCCACCAUUGAGUUCUUCAGUUCUGAGUUACUAUCAAACUGAAAGUCUUUCACGGAUCACUAGAUACGGGGGGAUGUUUGGGAGGCCCUCUGUGACCAGUGUAGCAGUGAGGACUACUCUGACAGACGACAGCGAGCCCGAUAGAAUUAUUCCAUCCAGCAGGAUCCGAUCAAGCAACCGACGGCUUUGUUGGCACACGUCAUUGCAAAUAGAUUGGUAAAAAUUCUAAACUUAUAUUAAUCUCAUUUUUAGUUGAUUAUAUAUUAGUUUUUAUUAAUUUAAAUUUUUUAUUUAUUGUAGACACAACAGUUGGGUCAUGUACUAUGGUAG
RNAcentral lists this long non-coding RNA (393 nucleotides) under Elaeis guineensis (African oil palm). Its description in RNAcentral is "long non-coding RNA (EGUI_LNC071719)". The record is from RNAcentral. Lineage: Eukaryota; Viridiplantae; Streptophyta; Magnoliopsida; Arecales; Arecaceae.